This is a long non-coding RNA of Ananas comosus (pineapple), 906 nucleotides long. RefSeq lists it as uncharacterized. The record is from RefSeq and is a predicted model, not a curated record. NCBI's taxonomy places the organism in Eukaryota, Viridiplantae, Streptophyta, Magnoliopsida, Poales, Bromeliaceae. The transcript has 2 exons.
GCUCUAAGUAUGUUUGAUUAGUUCUGAGCAUAGGUGCUGUCGGCACUUAGAGAAAUAAAAAAAAAAAACCCUCUGUAGGUUUGAUUCAACAACAUAACUAUGGUGUACCAUGUUAGUAACUUUAGCUGUCAUCAUAACAAAUUUCAACGCUAUUGAUUUCAUAUACAAACAAUCUGUUUGCUUUUUCAAUUGAACUACAAGUUCUCAUUCAUUUGAAUUCCACAGCUCAUUUUUGCUUUCUAUGUUUAGGCUGUUUAUCAAGGAAACAGUAUGAAGCUUCGGAUCCCUUUCCCAAGGCCAGCACAAGACAGAAAGGAUGUCAAGACUCUUAUUGUCGAAAUGCUUCAAUCUGCGAGAGCUUCGAUUUCAACUACGGAAUAAAAACUUUGUUUCACUUAAACAGAUUUGUCCCAGAACUAAAACUUAUCUUAUCCAAUCUCACCUAGUAUUUAUAUUUGUAAACAAGCUCACAUCCCAGAUGAUAUGAUGUAAAUGAUUUUGGGCAAAAAUACAUGUAGAAAUGAUAUUGCAAAGGCUGAGGCAAGUUCAGGGCUAAUUUGUUUGGGUGAAAGAGUAAAGACCAAAUUGCACUUUGUAUAAAGUGCAAGGCUUCAAUUUUUGAACAGUACAUCUAGUUUUAGCACAGGGAUGUGAGCCCAUUAAUGACUAGUUGGGAAUAUGCCAGAUCCAGUAAUUUCAUGACCGAUCGUACAAAGCAAAAUAUAUCUAUGCAGACCCGAAAAACUAAGAGUAUUUAAACACAAAAAAAUCUUAGAAGUUAGAAAUCCCCAAGAGCAAAUAUAUACAUAGUACAUAUUACAUAACGACCAGAUAAAGAGAGGGUGUUCAGGUCCAAAACAUUGUGUUCUUAAAUAGAUAACUAUGGCCCAAAAAAAAAAAAAAAAU